AUUGAACGCUGGCGGCAUGCCUUACACAUGCAAAUCGAACGGUAACGGGCCUUCGGGUGCCGACAAGUGGCGAACGGGUGAGUAAUACAUCGGAACGUGCCCGAUCGUGGGGGAUAACGAGGCGAAAGCUUUGCUAAUACCGCAUACGAUCUACGGAUGAAAGCAGGGGACCGCAAGGCCUUGCGCGGACGGAGCGGCCGAUGGCAGAUUAGGUAGUUGGUGGGAUAAAAGCUUACCAAGCCGACGAUCUGUAGCUGGUCUGAGAGGAUGAUCAGCCACACUGGGACUGAGACACGGCCCAGACUCCUACGGGAGGCAGCAGUGGGGAAUUUUGGACAAUGGGCGCAAGCCUGAUCCAGCCAUGCCGCGUGCAGGAUGAAGGCCUUCGGGUUGUAAACUGAUUUUGUACGGAACGAAAAGCCUUCUUUUAAUACAGGAGGGUCAUGACGGUACCGUAAGAAUAAGCACCGGCUAACUACGUG
RNAcentral lists this ribosomal RNA (482 nucleotides) under uncultured bacterium. RNAcentral describes it as "partial 16S ribosomal RNA". It matches the Rfam family "Bacterial small subunit ribosomal RNA", at positions 30 to 507 of the family's 1533-position model. The record is from RNAcentral.